RNAcentral lists this ribosomal RNA (201 nucleotides) under Triticum aestivum (bread wheat). RNAcentral's name for it is "partial small subunit ribosomal RNA". Lineage: Eukaryota; Viridiplantae; Streptophyta; Magnoliopsida; Poales; Poaceae. The record is from RNAcentral.
AUGAUUAAAAAUGCACAACGUAAUAAGCUACUGGUUGGCUUAGCUGUGGAUCUGAUCCCUGAUGGAGUUGCGGUUCUCCAAUAUGUGGAUGACACAAUUAUCUGUCUCGAGCAUGACAUUGACAAAGCAGUUAACCUGAAGUUGCUGAUGUACAUGUUUGAAAUGAUGUCAGGGUUGAAAGUUAAUUUUCAAAAAAAGUGA